Molecule: long non-coding RNA, 7284 nt
Filed under: Malus domestica (apple)
Lineage: Eukaryota; Viridiplantae; Streptophyta; Magnoliopsida; Rosales; Rosaceae
Description: long non-coding RNA (MDOM_LNC014804)
Source: RNAcentral
ACGGUAUAACGUUGACCGGUGCUCAGUAGUUUCGGGAUUGGUCAAGUAUGGUACAAACAGUGCUCCCUUAAGUUUCCGAGUAAGGGAAACUCCUCGGUUCGGGACUUGCAAGAUCCAAGCCAUUGAGUAAUCACGAAACUUCUAAGUACCGAAGUGUGGUAUCAUUUUCACUUGCCUUAUCUGUCUCAUAUGUAGAUGUGGCAUUUUCUCUAGAAGUACUUUUCCUCCAUCCAGGGGUGGUAUCUUUAACCGAUGAAGAUGCACAAGGUAAUGUAUCAAUUUCACUUGAAGCUUACUUGUAGUUUCGGGCUUGGUCAAGUGCGAUACAAACCCUAUAGUAAGAGUCCCCCAAGUAGUCGAGCUAGGAGAUUUGCCGAAGGAGGUAACAGACAAGGUAAGCAAUCAGACUUCCAAGCAAGCAACCUGGAUCGGAGGUUCGACUUCGGCUUCCGGUUAAUUGUUCUCCUUCUCAUUGUGUCGUAAACAGCAACAAGGAUAAGGAGAAGCAAAUGCAGAAAAGAUGAUAUGAGAUACCUUUACUUUUGAAGAAGUAACUUUCCACAGGCUUAUUCUUGAACUGGGCUGGAGGGUUUUCUGGUUUCCUCCAUAGUAUAAGGCCGACUCAAGAAUUUGAGGGUCAAAACAAGUUCAUCAAAUCUAGAGUAUGUUUGACCCUGAUGAUAUGUGAUACUUUUGCUGUUGACAAAGUAGUGGAUGUAUCAGCACGUGUUCUGUUACGCUUGUCUUCACAUGUUUCCUUGUAUCAUUCUCACUUGCCCUAUUUGUUCCUCAGGCAGAUGUGGUAUCUUCUCUGGAAGCAUAAGAUGUUGAAGAUGAGUACUUGAGAGCAAUGCCAGGUGAGUAAUCAGGCAAGGGGUUCCAGGCAGUCAGUUCCUGACUGGAAGCUUGAUUCCAAGUGUUGAUUGAUUGCUCUCUUUCUCCUUGUCUUGCAGGUAAGGACAAGGCCAAAGGAAAAGAUAGGGAAAAAGCAUGAUAUGGGAUACUCUUGCUUUUAACCCUGAUGAUAUGAGAUACUCUUGCUCUGGUGUGGCUUGUUUGCAGAGGUAUUAUCAUGAGGAAAAGAAGCUGAGUAUUUCGAGAGACUUUGCUGAGAGUGCCUUCUCGGAUGUGAAGAAAAGUUGAGUAUUUUUUUUUAUUUGCAGGUCUGCCUGGCUGUGAAGGAUGGAGGUCGACAUAUAUAGGAGUUUCCCUAACAACAAGUAGUAGUGCUAUUCCUUUACCCUUCUUGGUCAUAGCAAUGUAGUGGGAGUUGCAAGUUUCACGUGUUUUAACUUUGUCAGAGCACUUUGAAAAAGUGGUCUGUGGUAUUUGGAAAGCUGAUGUUGCGUGUGAAGAUUGCAGACAAGCUUUAUCCAAGGAAAUCUGGCUCUCGAAGUUCAGAGAGCGGUGCCUCUUCGGUUUUUGAACAAGCAAUCCUGUCAGGGAUCUGACUCUCGAGAUUCAGAGAACAGUGCCUCUUCGAUUUUUGAGAAAGUAAUCAUGCUGGGAGUCUGACUCUUGAGAUUCGGAGAGUAGUGUCUCUUCGAUUUUUUAGAAAGUAAUCCUGUUGGGAGUCUGGCUCUCGAGAUUCGGAGGGCGGUGCGUCUUCAAUUUUUGAGCACGUAAUCCUGUUGGGAGUCUGGCUCUCGAGAUUCGGAGAGCGGUGCCUCUUCAAUUUUUGAGAAAGCAAUCUUGUUGAGAGUCUGACUCUUGAGAUUCGGAGAACAGUGUCUCUUUGAUUUUUGAGAAAGUAAUCCUGUUGGGAGUCUGGCUCUCAAGAUUCAAAGGGCAGUGCUUCUUCGAUUUUUUAGCACGUAAUCCUAUUGGGAGUCUGGCUCUCAAGAUUCGGAGAGCGGUGCCUUUUCGAUUUUUGAGCAAGCAAUCUUGUUGGGAGUGUUUUCUCGAAUGUGAGUAAAGGUUGGGCAUUUUUACCAGUCUGUCUUGCCACGGAGCACGGAGGUUGACACACAUUGGGACUUUCUAGUUAUCAAGCAAUGGUGCUGUUCCUUUACCCUUGUGGGUAAUAGUAGGGUAGCUGGACCUUCAAAAUUUAUGUGUCUAAACUUUGUCAAAGAUUUUUGGCAAAGUUAUUUGUGGUACUCGAUGAGCUGAUGUUGCAUGUGGAAAGUGGUGCCUCUUCGAUUUUUGAACCAACGGCCCUGUUUCCCUUUCUUUUAUAAGGGCACCAAUUGUGUGCAAGAAGUACAUUCAGAGAGUUAUUGCUUGUAGGAAUUUUCCCCUUACUUCAGAGAUUUAUUGCACCUCAUUUCUCCUUCAUCAUUUCUAAGAAUGUUUGGCCCAUCCAACCGUCGUUUUGACUUGAACUUUGGUGAAGAGGCAGCCAUGCCUUCUCAAGACAACAUAUGGCGCCCAUCCUUCUUAUCCCCUACUGGUCCUCUUACCAUUAGGGACUCUGUGAUGAAGAAUGAUAUGACCGCUGCGGUGGUGGCCAGGAACAUUCUCACUCCCAAAGAUAACAAACUACUUUCCAAACGGUCUGAUGAGUUGGCUGUUAAGGAUUCUCUAUCUCUCAAUGUGCAGGUUCUGUGUCUAAUAUGACCCAAUACCUAUUUGCUCGAACCUGCCAAGUUGAAUCAUUGGCGACUGAAGUGAUAAGUCUCAAACAAGAGAUCAGAGGGCUCAAGCAUGAGAAUAAACAGUUGCACAAGCUCGCACAUGACUAUGCUACAAACAUGAAGAGGAAGCUCGACCAGCUGCAGGAAUCUGAUGGUCAGAUUUUACUUGAUCAUCAGAGGUUUGUGGGUUUGUUCCAAAGACAUUUAUUGCCUUCGUCUUCUAGGGUUGUACUGCGUAAUGAAGCUCCAAAUGAUCAACCUUCGGUGCCUCUCCUUCUGAGGUUCUGCCUAGUACUGAGGCUCCGAAUAAUCACCAUCUGGUGCCUCCUCUUUCUGGGGCUCUGCCGACUGCUGAGACUUCUCCUGAGCAACCUUUGUGAAAGCUCCCUCUUGUUUGUUUAUUUUGAUUGAUGUAUAUGUACAUAUUUGUAACUUAUCGGAGAUAUCAAUAAACAAGCUUUGCUUCAUGUCAACAUAUUGUGUUAAAUACACCAAGACAUUCUUCACUAAGUUCUUUGAAUUUUUCCUUUUGUUGAAGCUUGUAUGUUAAUGCUUUGUGAGUAAAGCAUGUAGGUUAAGGUAGUGCUCCUUUAAUUUCCCGAGUGAGGAAAACUUCUCGUUUGGAGACUUGAAAAAUCCAAGUCACUGAGUGGUCGUGAGACUUCCGAGUAUCAAAGUGCAGUGGUAUAACAUUUUAAUGAAUGAAAUGUAGAGAUUUUACUUGGACAUUCAUAGUUCAAAACUCUUCAAUCUCUUAAAUUACUGUAAUAAUUUCGAAUUCCUCGUUAUUAAUGGAAUUCUUCAUCACUUUUACCGGAGAAAGUUUGACUUAGCUAACAAUAACGUAUACACUUGUAUUUGAUUUGAUAUUUAGUUAUUGGCCCGUUGCGUAUUUAGUUUGAUAGAUAAUUGAAAAAAUGAUGUAGUGCGAGUUGGGUAUUGCUCUAGUGUGUAGUGUUUUCUUCUUCAAUCAAUUGUAUCUCAAGUUUAAGUUUUAGGACAAUUAGAUACAAUAAAUAUAUGUUGACAUUGGUAGAUUAUGUCCUCAUUAUAUAAUCAUUUAUUAGGUAAUUAUUAUGUCAUCGAUAUAUGACCAACAUAUUGUCGUUACACAAAAAACUCCAUUGGUUCAAAAGCUAGUACAUACACGUGGCCAUGGGUGUAGAACAAUCAAUUAAAAUUUGAAAGUAAAGCUGCUUCAUACUAAUUUCUCGUUGACAUUAACGCUAAAAACUUCUUUAGACGAAAAUUUGAGUGUCACUAAUAUUAUAAUACGUAUAUCUUUGUCAUAUCACGUAAUAAUAUUAAAUAAAUGUUUUAUGUAAUUCGUAAUAAGGAUUUCUUGGUCUAGAUAGGCCGGCGAGGGUUUCAGAAUCUUUUUAUUUGUUUAACAGGAUACUUAACCUAGAAAUAGCUCAAUCAUAAGGUCCAACAGCUGAAAGAUCACGACACACAACCUAAUUUUCCAAGUUUAAUUUUAAGGAAAACUAAUGAAAAGGGCUUGAAAACUUUGAGUUUUAAUGAUAAGGACAAAAUAAAGAGUAAAGUGAAUAGUAUCAGGAUUGAUUUUUUAGUGUAAAAAUGUGGUUUUUCGUUAAAAUGAACAGUACCGGGUUCUUUUCGUUAAAGUUCCCUUAAUUUUAUGGGUUUAUAGUAUAUCUCUUUUUAGCCGGCCUCUUGGACCUUGCUGCCUUUUUGUUGGGUUGGGUUGGUUUUGGGCGUUUUGCAUUCUUUGUUCUAUAUUUUUGUUUAUUUAUUUUUUCUAUCUAACUAUUAAGAAUUUAAUUUAUAUAACUAAAUAGUCAAAUGUCAUUCGGCUUCUACGAUGAGAAGUUUGGAAACACUGGUAAGUGAUGCUUUUAUUCAUUUGAUAUAUAUGGGUGGCCGUCGGACAAUAUGAUUGAUAUGUUUAUAUUAUAAAUUGAUUGUUUUUGUUGAUGCCAUCAUCGAUCUAUAUUUUAUUCAUCUAAAUAACAUGGAUUCCAAUUCAGAUGUAGAAGGAGGAGCACCCGGUAUACAUAACAAUAGCGAUGUUCUAAGUAUUCUAAAAAACUACUCAUGUAUGAGUUCUCAAUGAAAGCUUUGCAUCAAUUGACCCAUUAAUGUAUCUCUGAUAUCCAAAUAGAGCGAACCACUAUUGCAAUUUCAAUAAAUAAAACGUCCAACUAAGAAACUUAGUAGUAUGAACAAAUAAUAAGAUCAAUUUGUUUGGCUUAAUAUUUGAAUAUUGGGGCUCAAAAGAAGGAAAGUCCAAGGAUGCCAAAUUAAAGGAAGACUUGCCCGAAGCCCAGUUCAAGCCCAUGAAUAAACUGAAGCCUUCUCAGCCAAAAACAAGCCACGUGUCUAUGAGUGAAGUGAUAAGUGAUGGAGGCUAACUUACUAUCAUCCAAAGAACACUUUCUAGUGGCAUUACAAGUAAAAAGUCGAUGACUCACUACCUUCCAAGUGUUUUCGAGCAAGAGCAAAAGUUAUAGCAACUAGGCCAAACUACCUAUAAAAGGAAGAAGAGACAAACUCUGCUUUCAAGCCAGAUUUGCAUCCAAAAGCUAAAAUCAACCCAGAUUCAGUCAUUUUUAGCAUCCAAAAGCUGAAAAAAGCUAUCUCUUGUCUAGUAUAAAAGCUUUACUACCUCCCUUAGUGUUGUAGUAUCGAUUCCCUCGUGUAAACUUGUUUACCAUCCAUCCCUUUUUAGCAUAUAAACCCUGUAAAUUCAAAGAGAAGUGACUGCAAGAAGUUCAACCUUACCAGACAAGGUUAAAUCUUGCCUGAAACUAUUUGUUUACUUUCUAAAUUAGUAGAUCUAUUGCUUAAUGCAUUAUCCAGCAUGUAUUCAAGUUGUUUCCACCUGUUUUUCUGUUUUAAGAGUCUUAUUUGCAUCUGGAUAUGGUUAGCUUGAUGGAUAUAUUUUCAUUAAAAGUAAUUUGAAACCAAACACAUGACAUAAGGGGCUUUGAACUCCCUUCAUUCAAACAUACAAGACCAUGAACUAAAAGUCCUUGUUUACAAGGUAAGAAAAAUAACUUAAUACAAACUUAACCCAUCUACAAUCAUUUGAUAAUAAGAAGUUGAUGUAACUUGGGGCGUAAGUAAUCAACAUAAAACACACUUGUUCAACAUUUGCUAUACUGAGAUAGUAGUGGCACGCCUAAGCACUUAGUUAGUUUUGAUUGCGAGCCUCAAGGCUUACACUUAAGGCCCUAUAAAGGCACUUUUCAGAACUAACUUUGUUCUCCUCUUGUAGUACAUCAACAAGCAAGAACCCUACCACACAUCCAAAGUACCAAUCCUUUAGAGAGCUGUGCUGAGGUCCAAGGAGCCUUCUCCAGAGAAAUCUUUACCUGAACCCAAAUCAUUCGUAUCCCAAAUUCUUGAAGCUUCAUGCAUAUAUAACAAAGAGUCUACAACAAACCUGUUACCAGUGUCCAUAGAAGAGAUUAGGCAUCUUAUUCUUGGCUUCCCACAAGAUUGGCCUUCUUCUUUAGAACAAACUUUUGUACUCUCCCAGUAGAAUUAGGCAAAUCCCCAAACACGAAAGCUUGUGGAACCAUAAAAACAGGCAAUUUCUCCUCACAAACUUCACAAUCUCUUUACAACUUUCUUCACCACCACCACCAAAACCCUCCUUCAACUUCACAAAAGCACAAGGAGUCUCCCCCAAAACCUCAUCAUGUUUCCCCACAACAGCAGCCUCCAAAACUUGUGGAUGAGUCAGCAAAACUGCCUCCACCUCAAGUGUGCUUAUAGACUCCCCACCAGAAAUUAUAAUGUCCCUUGCCCUAUCUUUCAUCUGAAUGUACCCAUCUGAAUGCCGAACUGCCAGAUCACCAGUCCUAUACCAUCCGCCCUUGAAAACUUCAUGAUUAGGGUUUGAGUUUUUCAGAUAUCCCAACAUCAAAGUGUUGCCUCUUAACAUAAUCUCCCCCAUUGUUUUUCCAUCAUAUGGCACACUCUCCAUACUAUUCAAAUCCUUCACAUCAACACCUUCCAUCAUUAGAUUGUACUGAGAUUCCAACUUGGGUUUGCAUGGUGUGACAAUUGCCGGUCCAAGAGCCUCGGUCAUGCCAUAUCCAUGGCUCACAUUAAACCCUAAUUCUGUAACCUUGAUCAGAAUCUCCGAUGCUGGCAAUGCACCAGCAACAAUAAUCUCCACCCUUGAUUUUAUAACCCUAGUUUGAUCAUUUUCCGAGGCAUCUGCUAGAAUGUUUAAUAUAGAGGGUGCACCACAUAAGUGUGUUACCUUGUGAAGAUCAAUUGCUUCAAAAAUGGCUUUGGCUGAGACACUUCUUAGGCAGAUAUUGGUGCCACCAAGAGCAGCAACAGCCCAAGGGAAGCACCAUCCAUUGCACCUAAACAUUUCGACCGUCCAUAGAAAAACAGGCAUUUUUCUCAUGUCACUCUGAAAAAUUGCUCCCAGUGAAUUCAGGUACACAGCUCUGUGGCUGUACACAACUCCUUUGGGAUUACCUGUUGACCCAGAAGUGUAACUCACUGAAAUCGGGUCACACUCAUUGUUGGGUCUGAGAAUCUGAAAACCGGGUUCUGCUGGUUCCUGUAGGUCAUUGUAAUUUAUGGCACCUAAUGGAAGAUCAAGAUCAAUAUGAGAAGAUGAUGAUGAUUGGUCACAUUCUGGGAUUAGAAUGAGGAGAGGUGGCUUGGAGUUGGAGUUUGAUUGGGACAAAAUGUCAACUGCUUGGAGGACAACUUCAAG